GGCGGUUAGCUCAGUUGGUUAGAGCGCCACGUUGACAUCGUGGAGGUCGUUCGCCUGGAUAUUUGCCA
RNAcentral lists this transfer RNA (68 nucleotides) under Betaproteobacteria bacterium HGW-Betaproteobacteria-4. RNAcentral's name for it is "tRNA-Val". The record is from RNAcentral. Lineage: Bacteria; Pseudomonadati; Pseudomonadota; Betaproteobacteria.